RNAcentral lists this ribosomal RNA (252 nucleotides) under uncultured bacterium. RNAcentral's name for it is "partial 16S ribosomal RNA". It matches the Rfam family "Bacterial small subunit ribosomal RNA", at positions 524 to 775 of the family's 1533-position model. The record is from RNAcentral.
UACGUAGGAAGCGAGCGUUGUUCGGAGUUACUGGGCGUAAAGGGUGUGUAGGCGGUCCCCUAAGUUUGGUGUGAAAUCUCCCGGCUCAACCGGGAGGGUGCGCCGAAAACUGGAGGACUAGAGUGCGGGAUGGGAGAGUGGAAUUCCUGGUGUAGCGGUGAAAUGCGUAGAUAUCAGGAGGAACACCGGUGGUGUAGACGGCUCUCUGGACCGUAACUGACGCUGAGACACGAAAGCGUGGGUAGCAAACAG